UUUUAGAAAUUAAUUUAAAGUCUAACCUGCCCACUGAAUAAUUUUAAAUGGCCGCAGUAUCCUAACUGUGCAAAGGUAGCAUAAUCAUUAGUCUUUUAAUUGAAGGCUAGAAUGAAUGGUUGGAUGAAAUAUUAACUGUUUCAUAUAAAUUUAUAAUAGAAUUUUAUUUUUUAGUUAAAAAGCUAAAAUUUUAUUAAAAGACGAGAAGACCCUAUAAAUCUUUAUAUUUUUAUAAUUUUAAUUAUUUAGAUAAAUUAAAUUAUAAUUAAUAAAAAUAUUUUAUUGGGGUGAUAUUAAAAUUUAAUAAACUUUUAAUUUAUAAUUUACAUAAAUUAAUGAAUUAUUGAUCCAUUUAUUAUGAUUAAAAAAUUAAGUUACUUUAGGGAUAACAGCGUAAUUUUUUUAGAGAGUUCAUAUUGAUAAAAA
RNAcentral lists this ribosomal RNA (426 nucleotides) under Megaselia oligoseta. RNAcentral describes it as "partial 16S ribosomal RNA". Lineage: Eukaryota; Metazoa; Arthropoda; Insecta; Diptera; Phoridae. The record is from RNAcentral.